Molecule: long non-coding RNA, 500 nt
Filed under: Lathyrus oleraceus (garden pea)
Lineage: Eukaryota; Viridiplantae; Streptophyta; Magnoliopsida; Fabales; Fabaceae
Description: Pisum sativum (pea) long non-coding RNA (PSAT_LNC021983)
Source: RNAcentral
UGGUAGGCGGAUACGUUAAAAGCCGACUCUGAUGCUAUGAACCUUGGUCCGACCAUUUUCCACCUCAUGGCCUACUUGAUUGAUAAGCAUAGACCUGGCAAAACAAACCAAUGAAUCCAAAAUCCCACUUCUAAGCAACCUGCGGAAUGGAAAUUGUCGCCCGUUAAAUUCCGAAACCAUAACAAAAUGCAAAAAAAAUAAACUAAAGGACAGAAAUCACGGUUGUGCAUUCCUAGAGAUUUUACCAUCUGCAUUUCAAUAGCAUUAAGAGAAGGAAAGUCUACAAUUGAUGAUUUAAAUAAGUUGCAUGGUUUACCUGCUCUUCAAUCGUUUGCAAAGGUCCAAAACAUUACGGAUGCGGAGAGCCGGCAUUUCCAAGACGCCGGUAGCGAACAACUUUGAUUAGCAAAUGCCAUUGGGAACCUGCCAUUAGAAUUCCCAUCGACCAAAGAUGUAAGCAAUCAAGCAACAACUCAACAGGUCAUGGUGGUAGAGGCAAC